Small nucleolar RNA from Jaculus jaculus (lesser Egyptian jerboa), 132 nucleotides. RefSeq annotates it as small nucleolar RNA SNORA42/SNORA80 family. Lineage: Eukaryota; Metazoa; Chordata; Mammalia; Rodentia; Dipodidae. The record is from RefSeq and is a predicted model, not a curated record. The transcript has a single exon.
GCGUGGGUUUAGAUUUAUGGCAGGCCUGUACUUUGGGCCUUCCUAGUGUCCCAUCCCAAAGCAAACUGCAGCGCUGAGCCAUUGCCUGGCUACUCCCUGUAAGCUGCUAGCACUGAAGUGGGCUGCACAGCA